Molecule: long non-coding RNA, 951 nt
Filed under: Zostera marina
Lineage: Eukaryota; Viridiplantae; Streptophyta; Magnoliopsida; Alismatales; Zosteraceae
Description: long non-coding RNA (ZMAR_LNC003164)
Source: RNAcentral
GGAUAUCUUAUAUAAUAUUUCGAAAUUUAAGAAUUUUUUUCCAUUUUUUUAAUUUUGAGAAAUGGUUUUUUAUCACGACAACGAACAUUGUAUAAUUGUAUUCCUCAUUUGAUGAUUCUCAUCUAGGUUUAGAUUUUCUUUCAAAUAUCACAUACAUUGUUUCAAAUACGUGCACAAAAGCGUGCAUGAGGUAAAGCGUGAGUGCACUACCUGGUUGCGUUUUUCAAAGCACCUCCAGGAUUUUGUUUUAAUUUGAUCUGGGUCGGACCUGGACCCGAAUCCAGUAGCUCUUGUGUUUCCGGAGACACCUAUUUCAUCUCCCAAAACCUUACCAAAACUUCCACUUAUCUUCCUAAUUCCUCCCCUAAUCUUUUCCCACACCUCCAGCUAGCUAGCAGCCUGUUAUCAGGUGGAAAAAAAUGUACAGAUUAUUCAUUUUUUUUACUUUCCAAUUUUUUUCUAGACUUUUAUGACUGUAACUCAAGUGAUAACGAGCUGAAAUCAUUUAUGAAGAGAACGAGAUCAACAAAGAUGAGAGUGAGGUCUCACAACCCUAAGUUUCUGUUGUAGACGUUUGACGCCGACCGAUCUUAGUAUUUAUGAUAAAUCGAUUGACUUGAAUUUGAUAUCUGAUAUGAAGUUGAAUCGUCCAACAAAUUGGGACGAUGAAAGUAUACCGCCUAUGCAUCUAAAAAAGCAAAAAGAUACGAAAACGUUACCGGUCUAAUGUUUCCUAUGCAGAUUUUUUUCAAAGGAAGAGAUCCAUCGAGUGAAAAUCCCGUGUAAAUCCUGCCGGUGGAAAACUCGACACAAAUAACUAAACUUACUAUUUUUCUAAAAUAGACAUUCAUUACUUGUUUUAGUUUCGUCCUGUAGUGUCAAUAUAGAAAAAUCGACUAUUUUCUACUCCUGUUCUAAGUCUUCUUCAAAUUCAGUUACAUUAAAUCACAA